GGGCUGCUCCCGCUUCUGUUUGGUAGAGCACGGGAUUCUCAAUCUCAUGGGUCGUGGGUUCGAGCCCCACGCUGGGCA
Non-coding RNA from Podarcis lilfordi (Lilford's wall lizard), 78 nucleotides. Lineage: Eukaryota; Metazoa; Chordata; Lepidosauria; Squamata; Lacertidae. The record is from the annotation of a GenBank genome assembly.